UACGUAGGGGGGCUAGCGUUGUCCGGAAUCAUUGGGCGUAAAGAGCGCGUAGGCGGCUGGAAUAGUCCGGUGUGAAAUCCACAGGCUUAACCUGUGAAUGCCGCUGGAAACUGUCUGGCUAGAGUCCGGAAGGGGCGAGUGGAAUUCCUGGUGUAGCGGUGAAAUGCGCAGAUAUCAGGAGGAACACCAAUGGCGAAGGCAGCUCGCUGGGACGGUACUGACGCUGAGGCGCGAAAGCGUGGGGAGCAAACAGG
RNAcentral lists this ribosomal RNA (254 nucleotides) under uncultured bacterium. RNAcentral describes it as "partial 16S ribosomal RNA". It matches the Rfam family "Bacterial small subunit ribosomal RNA", at positions 524 to 776 of the family's 1533-position model. The record is from RNAcentral.